CACCAAAACAAAUCUCUGCCUUUUCUUUUCUUGUUGCCCCUGCUUUUGCCAUGUUCGUGAUUGCCGAAUCGAAUUGUGUGCUCCGUCUCCGCGCGAUCGACCGGUCGAUUUUGCGGCGGUUUUGGUGCCACAGCCAAGCCAAACCGUGCUCUCUCCGCGAAUCAUGAUCAUCGAGCAUGCAGUAGUCGUUACUACACCUUCUUUUCCUCUUUCCCUUUUUGUCUGCACUUAAACUAGAGUAACCAAAAGAAAAAGCAGAGUUGCUUAAACCAAACAAACUCAUCGGCAGUACAGGCUUUUAGCUUCAGGGAACAUUACUACUGGCCAGCGAAGGUCUGUACGGAUCGACAUGACAGACUCUGCUAGCUCUGCUCCGUAGCCAUUGUAGCCAUGCAUCGUGGACACAGCCCAUCAGAUCAUCAUCGCAAACGCUAGUUAAUUGCGACCCAUCAUGAUGAUGGGAUAUGGUUCUUUACAACGGAGGCCAUUAACAAUCGCCGGCGUGUCCCGUCGGAUUCCGAAGAGUUAAUCCCCCCAACACCCGCCAAAUGCGAUUCGAAUCGUCGGUGGCUCGGUGCUAGCUAGCUAGUGGCCCACCGGUUCAGGUUCGCAGUAACGUUAAGAAAAUGCCACCGUAGGGAAUUUCACCAGCUGUUGCUUCUUGGGCUCAAGACCGAUUCCAAGACCACACGGCAGAGUUCAUGCAUUGCACAUCACAGUAGUCAGUAUUGCUUCCGUAUCUGAAUUUGUCGGAUAGGGAAAGAAAGGGGUAUAUAUAAUGUCAACUAUUGCUGAUCACCGGCCGUCCAUGUUAUGCUGGCUAGAUAAGUUGAUGAGCGCAUGUAUCCUCAUAAUUGAUGCUUGGAAAAGGAAAGAUAUACGUCGAGAUGCAGCUAACAUGAUACGCCACUUCUGAUGGUAUAGAUAAUAGUAGUAACAGCGAGGAUACGAUAUGCACGAAAAUAGUACUGUAUUACAAAAAAAAAGAGAGGUCCAGAUUAGAGAAAGCAGAUGGAUGAAGGGUCGAAGAUCAAGGGGGGUAUAACCGAGAAUAAGAUUUCCCUAGUGUGUACUUGUUCCUAGUAUUAGAGAAGUUGUCUGGAUCGGAUUUGGCAUGUGGGCAGAAAAGAUGAGGAAUGUUAGGUAGCUACAGGCAGCUACCCAUUUUCAGCUGGACGCAGGAGAAACGUAACAUGUGUGAGAGAGAGGAUUACGUUUGGCAGCAUAGCCUGCCAAAUGCCAAUAUUCCCUGGCCCCGGAGGACGCGCGGGGCAUGGCACGAUGCGCCGGCGGCCGUUGGCACCUCCACGUCGAGACAAGCUAGCCCCAUGAGCCGUGCGGCGCCUUUUGCAUGUGACGCGUGCUCGCUCGCCGUGAACGGCAUGGCCCCGCAAGGCAUCUAUCUAUCUAUCGAUCGGAAAAUCCCUCCCCUGAAGACUUUACAUCACGCGGUGGCGUGCGUCGUGUCCCUCUCCCGGCCGGCGUGCCGACUCGACCGGCCGGCCACGCCGAAUCCGCCAACUGCCAAAGCUGCCUGGCUAACUCUUCGCAUUAGCUCGUUGUGGGUGGGACAUUGUUGCCUUGUUGGUGGGUGGCCACUGACAAAUGGCAAGGCCCUGGCCGAACAAUCGACGCACCGGCACUACCAUAAUUAAGGAGCAGUGUGAUAUAACCCAAAGCCGCGUAAAAACCACCGGCAAGCACUGCUGGUUUGUGGAUCGAUCGGUUCUUUGUACCCGGGCGCAUGAGACGGAUGCAGCUGCUCCACAUGGCCACGGGAUGUCCUGGCCGCUUGUUAAUUAGCUUCUUCUUUAAUCCGUUUUUCUCUGUCGCUGCUUGCUUGCGUGGUCCGCGACGCCGAUCGCAGGCCGACACGCACGCUCCACCGGCAUAAAAGCCAGCGUCCUGAUUUGCCAGGCGAGGCCGGCGGGUAGAUAAUUGCUGUUUUUAUUGGACGUUGGUACGUACUACGCACGACUAGGAGCAAGCAGCAGCUGGCGCUAGUCGUCGUUGUGUGGUGUCGAGGGGCUUUGGACCGGCGGCCUGGGCUGUCGCAGGCGUGCAGAUUGCGUAGCCCUGUCCUACCCGCACCGGGUAGUUUUCCCUUCUUUUUGAAGGUUGGCGUCAUUCGUGACCCCGACGCGGCCACUAGUUCUCUCAAAGAAAAAAUAGUUUUCUCACCUUCGGUGCCCGCGUCUCCAAUACUGCCCGUCACCGAUAGCAUCGGGGGAGAAGUAGGCAGUAAACAAG
Long non-coding RNA from Brachypodium distachyon (stiff brome), 2250 nucleotides. RefSeq lists it as uncharacterized. The transcript is spliced from 2 exons. The record is from RefSeq and is a predicted model, not a curated record. Lineage: Eukaryota; Viridiplantae; Streptophyta; Magnoliopsida; Poales; Poaceae.